This is a long non-coding RNA of Scophthalmus maximus (turbot), 1844 nucleotides long. RefSeq lists it as uncharacterized. The record is from RefSeq and is a predicted model, not a curated record. NCBI's taxonomy places the organism in Eukaryota, Metazoa, Chordata, Actinopteri, Pleuronectiformes, Scophthalmidae. The transcript is spliced from 3 exons.
GCAGGAUAAUCCCAUUGAUUUCAGACACAAGAGCAGGCCGGUGACGGUGAAUCCCAGGGCCUCUGUGCAUCUUACUGGCUGCGGAAAAGUGUGAUGGUGGGAUGGGCUGCGGGACUUUCAUAAGACACCAGGGUCCAGAAGCAAUACCACAUGACCCCAAAAGUUCCUGGAGCAGUGGAAAGAAGACAAGCAGGCAAAGGGCAGGGGAGGGAAAAACAAUCACAUUUUGUGGCUGUUGACCAUGCUGACGAUGGCCACGCCCAAGUUACAUCGGAUUCCAAAGGAGAUGCAGAAGCCAAUGCCAGAGAGGAUGGCGAUGAUGUAGCGCCUGGGCAGGCCGAAGCACGUGCAGUCGACCACCGGCAUUUCCUUUUCCUCCACCAGCUCGGGCCGGCCCUCCGCCGACAGCUCGAUGGUCUCGCCAUUUUCUUGCUUCUUCUCGAGAGCGCUGCGGAGAAGAGUUUGGAAAAAAAGGUGUAGGGAUCAAAAAUUUUGUAUGCAUGUUAACUACAGUCCUUGUUCGUAUGUUGUUUAGACUCUUGGGCACUUUGGGCUUUUGUCAUAAAUAUGAAUACAAAAAGGCCUUGAUCAAAAAGCUGCGCAAGUGAAUUUGGUUAUCAAGAAGUUGAUUCAAAAGUUACAUUUUCAUAUAGUUUCAAUCUUUGUAUUCCUCCUCUGUCAGCUUAUGAUGGUGUGGUGUGGUGUUCUGAGGCAUCAGUUUGAAAACCCUCUUUGCAGAGACAGCCUUUGACAAAUCACACCAAAAGACUCCUUGAUAUAAAAUUUGCCACUUCAGCACUCACUAGUUGUCAAUUCAAUUUAACAAAACUGCUCUUUAAAACUGUGCCAAAUGACAGGACUCAAACAGAAGCAAAAACAAUCAUUGAUCCCAUUACAGGAGAGACCUUUACGUUUGGUUUACCAGUGCGGCUGUGGCUUAGGGAGUGGAGAGGGUCGUCCACCAACCAAGAGGUCAACAGUUUGAUCCCCAGCUCCUUCCAGUCGGCAUGCCAAAGUGACACUUAACCCUAAAUUGUUCCUGAUGGCUGUGCCAGCAGUGUAUGAAUGAUUUGUGAUCUGCUAUGUAUAGAAGCGCUGUACGAAUGAGUGAAUGUGACUUGUAAUGUAAACACUUUGUGUGAUCGAUAAGACUCGAAAAGCGCCAUAUCACUGCAGUCCAUUUACCAUUCCUAGAUUUUUCUAUAUUGUCGAUUUUCUUCAAGGGCAAUCAGUCAUUCAGUCAUCUCCCAGACGGGUGUUUCUGAACGAUGACUGAGGAUCUGGAUUUUUAGAUAAUCUUUCAAACUGUCAAUUUGACUGGUAACUCCAACAUUAUAACUAGAAACUGAGACUGUCGCCCUACUAACUUUGACAUAUCCCGUCUUCUUGAGGUGUUUAAACACUGCUUCUUUUUAUAUAUUUAUAUAUAACAUUUGGUCAAACUGGCUGACAGUGAGGAAUACAGUGUGAGUAAAAGACAACAGCAUUGACAGAAACUUGUCUCAUCCGGGUGCAUUCAUCCUCCUCUUCCCCCUCCAGACAAGGUUAACUACUCCUUUUCUGCUCCCGUCUGUAGCGUGUGCUCAAAUGUCUUGCAGAGAAACCCGGAGAAACCAUGACCUCUGCAAGCUCGACGUCUUACAGCCAUCAAAUAUGUAUCAAAACGCAGUGGAUAAUCUAUUAAACAUGACAUGCGCUAGGAACAGACUUGAGAACUGCAGGUCCACGUGAUGGAGCCCUAUUGCUAUUCCCACUGCUUUUGUCUGGUUAAUAUAAUUUAUAACCAGUGCGGGGAGAUGCAUUCGGCACAUGAGAGCUGGUUGUGCUCAAGCAAAACAUAUCAG